UACGGGGGAUGCAAGCGUUAUCCGGAAUGAUUGGGCGUAAAGCGUCCGCAGGUGGCUGUGUAAGUCUGCUGUUAAAGAGUGAGGCUCAACCUCAUAAAGGCAGUGGAAACUACAUGGCUAGAGUGCGUUCGGGGCAGAGGGAAUUCCUGGUGUAGCGGUGAAAUGCGUAGAGAUCAGGAAGAACACCGGUGGCGAAAGCGCUCUGCUAGGCCGCAACUGACACUGAGGGACGAAAGCUAGGGGAGCGAAUGGG
Molecule: ribosomal RNA, 253 nt
Filed under: uncultured bacterium
Lineage: Bacteria
Description: partial 16S ribosomal RNA
Rfam family: Bacterial small subunit ribosomal RNA
Source: RNAcentral